This 429-nucleotide ribosomal RNA is filed under the name Chloroflexota bacterium. Its description in RNAcentral is "Chloroflexi bacterium partial 16S ribosomal RNA". It matches the Rfam family "Bacterial small subunit ribosomal RNA", at positions 355 to 776 of the family's 1533-position model. Lineage: Bacteria; Bacillati; Chloroflexota. The record is from RNAcentral.
UGGGGAAUAUUGCACAAUGGGCGCAAGCCUGAUGCAGCCAUGCCGCGUGUGUGAAGAAGGCCUUCGGGUUGUAAAGCACUUUCAGCGGGGAGGAAGGCGUUAAGGUUAAUAACCUUGGCGAUUGACGUUACCCGCAGAAGAAGCACCGGCUAACUCCGUGCCAGCAGCCGCGGUAAUACGGAGGGUGCAAGCGUUAAUCGGAAUUACUGGGCGUAAAGCGCACGCAGGCGGUCUGUCAAGUCGGAUGUUAAAUCCCCGGGCUCAAACUGGGAACUGCAUUUGAAACUGGCAGGCUAGGGUCUUGUAGGGGGGGGUAGAAUUCCAGGUGGAGCGGUGAAAUGCGUAGGGAUCUGGAGGAAUACCGGUGGCGAAGGCGGCCCCCUGGACAAAGACUGAAGCUCAGGUGCGAAAGCGUGGGGAGCAAACAGG